UAGGCACAUGGUGUUUUUCUGGAAGCUGC
This 29-nucleotide non-coding RNA is filed under the name Mus musculus (house mouse). Lineage: Eukaryota; Metazoa; Chordata; Mammalia; Rodentia; Muridae. The record is from RNAcentral.